RNAcentral lists this ribosomal RNA (549 nucleotides) under Suzukiozyma pseudoglaebosa. RNAcentral describes it as "[Candida] pseudoglaebosa partial large subunit ribosomal RNA". It matches the Rfam family "Eukaryotic large subunit ribosomal RNA", at positions 79 to 647 of the family's 3401-position model. Lineage: Eukaryota; Fungi; Ascomycota; Pichiomycetes; Serinales; Debaryomycetaceae. The record is from RNAcentral.
CUUAGUAACGGCGAGUGAAGCGGCAAAAGCUCAAAUUUGAAAUCUAGCACCUUCGGUGUUCGAGUUGUAAUUUGAAGAAGGUAACCUUGGGAUUGGCUCUUGUCUAUGUUUCUUGGAACAGAACGUCACAGAGGGUGAGAAUCCCGUGCGAUGAGAUGACCAAUUCUAUGUAAGGUGCUUUCGAAGAGUCGAGUUGUUUGGGAAUGCAGCUCUAAGUGGGUGGUAAAUUCCAUCUAAAGCUAAAUAUUGGCGAGAGACCGAUAGCGAACAAGUACAGUGAUGGAAAGAUGAAAAGAACUUUGAAAAGAGAGUGAAAAAGUACGUGAAAUUGUUGAAAGGGAAGGGUAUGAGAUCAGACUUGGUGUUUUGCAACCUUAUCUUCGGAUGGGGCCCCUGCAGUUCAUCGGGCCAGCAUCAGUUUGGACGGUAGGAUAAUGACAUUGGAAUGUGACUUGGCUUCGGUUAAGUGUUAUAGCCCUUGUUGAUACUGCCUGUCUAGACAGAGGACUGCGUCUUUGACUAGGAUGCUGGCAUAAUGAUCCUAUACCG